This 255-nucleotide ribosomal RNA is filed under the name uncultured bacterium. RNAcentral describes it as "partial 16S ribosomal RNA". It matches the Rfam family "Bacterial small subunit ribosomal RNA", at positions 524 to 776 of the family's 1533-position model. The record is from RNAcentral.
UACGUAGGGGGCUAGCGUUGUCCGGAAUCAUUGGGCGUAAAGAGCGUGUAGGCGGCCCGGUAAGUCCGCUGUGAAAGUCGGGGGCUCAACCCUCGAAUGCCGGUGGAUACUGUCGGGCUAGAGUGCGGAAGAGGCGAGUGGAAUUCCUGGUGUAGCGGUGAAAUGCGUAGAGAUCCGGAAGAACACCGGUGGCGAAGGCGGCCUGCUGGGCAGUUUAGCUGACACUGAGGCGCGACAGCGUGGGGAGCAAACAGG